RNAcentral lists this unclassified non-coding RNA (349 nucleotides) under soil metagenome. Its description in RNAcentral is "partial contains 5.8S ribosomal RNA, internal transcribed spacer 2, and large subunit ribosomal RNA". The stretch from base 1 to 120 matches the Rfam family "5.8S ribosomal RNA", at positions 35 to 154 of the family's 154-position model. The record is from RNAcentral.
GAUGAAGAACGCAGUGAAAUGCGAUACGUAGUGUGAAUUGCAGAAUUCAGUGAAUCAUCGAAUCUUUGAACGCACAUUGCACCUCUCGGUAUUCCGGGAGGUAUGCCUGUUCGAGCGUCAUUUCAACCCUCAAGCUCUGCUUGGUAUUGGGCGUCGCCGGGGAGUCUCCCCGGCGUGCCUCAAAGCCAUCGGCGGUGGUGCCUUUCUCUAAGCGUGGUAGAAUUUUUAUUCGCUUCUGAGUUGGGCUUCGCCUGCCGGACAAACCGGGCCCUCGCGGCCCACCUUCUCAGGUUGACCUCGGAUCAGGUAGGGAUACCCGCUGAACUUAAGCAUAUCAAUAAGCGGAGGA